Molecule: unclassified non-coding RNA, 457 nt
Filed under: Hevea brasiliensis (rubber tree)
Lineage: Eukaryota; Viridiplantae; Streptophyta; Magnoliopsida; Malpighiales; Euphorbiaceae
Source: RNAcentral
GAGAGAGAGAGAGAGAGAGAUGGGUGAAGAGAGAGAGGAUCCACAGAAGAUAAAGAGGUUGGCGGCGGCCGCUUAUGAUUACGAGAACGACCCCCGAUGGGCCGACUACUGGUCCAACAUCCUCAUCCCUCCCCACAUGGCUUCUCGCUCCGACGUUGUGGACCACUUCAAGCGCAAGUUCUAUCAGCGCUACGUCGAUCCUGAUCUUGUGGUGGAGGCAAUGACUUCAACUGGUUCAUCUCAAUCAACAAAACCUUCUUCAUCCUCCUCCACAUCAUCAGCAACUUCAAAUGACCAAACUCGACAACGGAACACAGGGUCAACUACAAGGACCUCUGGGACAUCAGCAAGUGCAGGUCCAAAUACUAGUCCUACUUCUGUCCGCUGGGAUCGACAAACUAUUCAAUUUUCUGUCAAUGCUUGGGUUUUUGUUGUGGCUGUGCUUGCAAUCAUUCCU